CUGCUCAGGACGAACGCUGGCGGCGUGCUUAACACAUGCAAGUCGAGCGGUAAGGCCUUUCGGGGUACACGAGCGGCGAACGGGUGAGUAACACGUGGGUGAUCUGCCCUGCACUCUGGGAUAAGCUUGGGAAACUGGGUCUAAUACCGGAUAUGACCGCAUGCCGCAUGGUGUGUGGUGGAAAGAUUUAUCGGUGCAGGAUGGGCCCGCGGCCUAUCAGCUUGUUGGUGGGGUAAUGGCCUACCAAGGCGACGACGGGUAGCCGACCUGAGAGGGUGACCGGCCACACUGGGACUGAGACACGGCCCAGACUCCUACGGGAGGCAGCAGUGGGGAAUAUUGCACAAUGGGCGGAAGCCUGAUGCAGCGACGCCGCGUGAGGGAUGAAGGCCUUCGGGUUGUAAACCUCUUUCAGCAGGGACGAAGCGUGAGUGACGGUACCUGCAGAAGAAGCACCGGCUAACUACGUGCCAGCAGCCGCGGUAAUACGUAGGGUGCGAGCGUUGUCCGGAAUUACUGGGCGUAAAGAGUUCGUAGGCGGUUUGUCGCGUCGUUUGUGAAAACCCGGGGCUCAACUUCGGGCUUGCAGGCGAUACGGGCAGACUUGAGUGUUUCAGGGGAGACUGGAAUUCCUGGUGUAGCGGUGAAAUGCGCAGAUAUCAGGAGGAACACCGGUGGCGAAGGCGGGUCUCUGGGAAACAACUGACGCUGAGGAACGAAAGCGUGGGUAGCAAACAGGAUUAGAUACCCUGGUAGUCCACGCCGUAAACGGUGGGCGCUAGGUGUGGGUUCCUUCCACGGGAUCUGUGCCGUAGCUAACG
RNAcentral lists this ribosomal RNA (821 nucleotides) under Rhodococcoides fascians. RNAcentral's name for it is "bacterial SSU rRNA". It matches the Rfam family "Bacterial small subunit ribosomal RNA", at positions 20 to 857 of the family's 1533-position model. Lineage: Bacteria; Bacillati; Actinomycetota; Actinomycetes; Mycobacteriales; Nocardiaceae. The record is from RNAcentral.